AGCGGUAUGGUGUAAUGAUGCACACCGGGUCUCCUUACAGUCUCACAAAUAUUGGCAUCCCCGAGGUCCUUGUUCGAAUCAAGGUACUGCUC
Molecule: non-coding RNA, 92 nt
Organism: Mycena leptocephala
Lineage: Eukaryota; Fungi; Basidiomycota; Agaricomycetes; Agaricales; Mycenaceae
Source: the annotation of a GenBank genome assembly